RNAcentral lists this ribosomal RNA (497 nucleotides) under uncultured bacterium. RNAcentral describes it as "partial 16S ribosomal RNA". It matches the Rfam family "Bacterial small subunit ribosomal RNA", at positions 28 to 507 of the family's 1533-position model. The record is from RNAcentral.
GAUGAACGCUGGCGGCGUGCCUAAUACAUGCAAGUCGAGCGAACAGACGAGGAGCUUGCUCCUCUGACGUUAGCGGCGGACGGGUGAGUAACACGUGGAUAACCUACCUAUAAGACUGGGAUAACUUCGGGACACCGGAGCUAAUACCGGAUAAUAUAUUGAACCGCAUGGUUCAAUAGUGAAAGACGGUUUUGCUGUCACUUAUAGAUGGAUCCGCGCCGCAUUAGCUAGUUGGUAAGGUAACGGCUUACCAAGGCAACGAUGCGUAACCGACCUGAGAGGGUGAUCGGCCACACUGGAACGGAGACACGGUCCAGACGCCUAAGGGAGGCAGCAGUAGCGAAUCUGCCGCAAUGGGCGAAAGCCUGACGGAGCAACGCCGCGUGAGUGAUGAAGGUCUUCGGAUCGUAAAACUCUGUUAUUAGGGAAGAACAAAUGUGUAAGUAACUAUGCACGUCUUGACGGUACCUAAUCAGAAAGCCACGGCUAACUACGUG